Molecule: long non-coding RNA, 1144 nt
Organism: Triticum aestivum (bread wheat)
Lineage: Eukaryota; Viridiplantae; Streptophyta; Magnoliopsida; Poales; Poaceae
Exons: 4
Source: RefSeq, a predicted model, not a curated record
CCUCUCACCCCACGAACCCUAGCGCUCCAGAUCCGCCACCCACCUCACGCGCCCACCCACCUCACUCUCCCCGCGCCGCCGCCCCCAACCCCACUCCCUCCCUCUGGAUCUCGACGCGCCGCCGCUCCCACCCCACUCCUCCGGUGUUCCCCUCACACUCUCAUCCGCCUCCCGUCCCCUCGGCGGCGGCGCCUUCCCCAUCGUGCUCCCGAUCCAGAUCCCUCCUCUCCCCAUCUCAUAUCCUCUCCCCUCUCCCCACUCUCAGAUCCAACUGGCCCGAGACGGAGGCCGUCAUGGACAUGGUCGCCACCAUCGACCGCGAGUGGGGGUCCUGGUCCUCUCCCUUGUCAUCCUAGGCGGCGGCAUCUGCGAGCGGUUCCUGGAGUGGCCGGUCAUCGCGCUGGAGGCGCUGCUCCCGGCGCUAUCCCUCGCGGGGCUCGCGGGGUCCCUCUGCCGUGUCUUCAUCGUCUUCUCCUUCGUCGUCACCAACCGCGUCCGGACCUCCCCCAAAGCCACACUCCUCCUUCCUCGUCCCCAUCUCCUCGCCACCAGCAUCCAGUCCCAGGUCGCCAGCAUCCAGUCCAACGACUUGUAGUGACAUCAAGGCCAAAGCUGAGCGGAGAUGGAAGGAUACGACUUUGCCACCGGCGAGGCUUAGGGUCUUCGUCUCCGGACAACCUCACGCCCCCCCCCCCCCCCCCCCCCCCCCUCCCGGCGGUAAGUGAGGCGACAGUGCCUCCCUUCCUGGUGCCCCGGCCAAGUUCACCCUUUGCUCGCCGUGGCCGCCGCUAAGUAGACCCCCGGCGGCGACGACGAGGUUCGUGAAGAGGCCAAUCUGGUGUUGUGAAAGAAGGGGGCUGGCCAUGGAGAAGAUCCCACGGCGAGCUCCUCAGGACUGCUUUCAAUGGGGGGAGAAGCUUAGAGAACUUCAAUUAAAUAGAAGAACUAUCCAUGAUUUCAUUGCUGUGAAGGAAUUCAAGUUGUCGCACCUGGAGAACUUGCCCAUCAGAGGGAGCAAUGAAGACAUUGUUAAAAUAGUACCAUAUGUGCUCCUACGUGUUGAACAAUGUUAUGUAGUAGUGAGAUAAGGCAAAUUAUGUAGACAUUGUAUUCCUGUGUAAUGAAAUUUUGUAUUCCCUGUGUA